UAUUGCACAAUGGGGGAAACCCUGAUGCAGCGACGCCGCGUGAGCGAAGAAGUAUUUCGGUAUGUAACGCUCUAUCAGCAGGGCAGAANNUGACGGUACCUGACUAAGAAGCUCCGGCUAAAUACGUGCCAGCAGCCGCGGUAAUACGUAUGGAGCAAGCGUUAUCCGGAUUUACUGGGUGUAAAGGGAGCGUAGGCGGUAAGGCAAGUCUGAUGUGAAAGGCCAGGGCUCAACCCUGGGACUGCAUUGGAAACUGUUUAACUGGAGUGUCGGAGAGGCAAGUGGAAUUCCUAGUGUAGCGGUGAAAUGCGUAGAUAGUAGGAGGAACACCAGUGGCGAAAGCGGCUUGCUGGACGAUGACUGACGCUGAGGCUCGAAAGCGUGGGGAGCAAACAG
Molecule: ribosomal RNA, 396 nt
Filed under: uncultured bacterium
Lineage: Bacteria
Description: bacterial SSU rRNA
Rfam family: Bacterial small subunit ribosomal RNA
Source: RNAcentral